RNAcentral lists this transfer RNA (61 nucleotides) under Malaxella flava. Its description in RNAcentral is "tRNA-Ala". The record is from RNAcentral. Lineage: Eukaryota; Metazoa; Arthropoda; Insecta; Hemiptera; Delphacidae.
AGGAGAAUAGUUAAUUAUAACAUUUAAAUUGCAAUUAAAAAAUACACCUGUGUUUCUCUUA